CCCGUUAUAGAAAGCAUAGCUGCAACACCACGGCGGAAUCUAAACCACGCAGUCCUACUGGUGCAGAGCCAUGUCCCUUAGAUGCAACCGUCCACUACAGCUGGGAGUUUGCGCAGUAGGUCCAUAUUCCACACCAUAGCCAACAGUGAAGGCUUGAUUGGAUACAGAUUAUCAGAUUCAUUUCUAUAUUCCAG
Mya arenaria is the source of this 194-nucleotide long non-coding RNA. RefSeq lists it as uncharacterized. Lineage: Eukaryota; Metazoa; Mollusca; Bivalvia; Myida; Myidae. The transcript has 3 exons. The record is from RefSeq and is a predicted model, not a curated record.